GACGAACGCUGGCGGCGUGCCUAAUACAUGCAAGUCGAGCGGACUGAAUGGGAGCUUGCUCUUGUUCGGUCAGCGGCGGACGGGUGAGUAACACGUGGGCAACCUGCCCGCAAGACCGGGAUAACUCCGGGAAACCGGAGCUAAUACCGGAUAACACCGAAGACCGCAUGGUCUUUGGUUGAAAGGCGGCGCAAGCUGCCACUUGCGGAUGGGCCCGCGGCGCAUUAGCUAGUUGGUGAGGUAACGGCUCACCAAGGCGACGAUGCGUAGCCGGCCGGAGAGGGUGACCGGCCACACUGGGACUGAGACACGGCCCAGACUCCUACGGGAGGCAGCAGUAGGGAAUCUUCCGCAAUGGGCGAAAGCCUGACGGAGCGACGCCGCGUGGGCGAAGAAGGCCUUCGGGUCGUAAAGCUCUGUUGUGAGGGACGAAGGAGCGCCGUUUGAAGAAGGCGGCGCGGUGACGGUACCUCACGAGGAAGCCCCGGCUAACUACGUG
Molecule: ribosomal RNA, 499 nt
Filed under: uncultured bacterium
Lineage: Bacteria
Description: partial 16S ribosomal RNA
Rfam family: Bacterial small subunit ribosomal RNA
Source: RNAcentral